AUUGAACGCUGGCGGCAGGCCUAACACAUGCAAGUCGAGCGGAUGAAGGGAGCUUGCUCCUGGAUUCAGCGGCGGACGGGUGAGUAAUGCCUAGGAAUCUGCCUGGUAGUGGGGGAUAACGUCCGGAAACGGGCGCUAAUACCGCAUACGUCCUGAGGGAGAAAGUGGGGGAUCUUCGGACCUCACGCUAUCAGAUGAGCCUAGGUCGGAUUAGCUAGUUGGUGGGGUAAAGGCCUACCAAGGCGACGAUCCGUAACCGGCCUGAGAGGAUGAUCAGUCACACUGGAACUGAGACACGGUCCAGACUCCUACGGGAGGCAGCAGUGGGGAAUAUUGGACAAAGGGCGAAAGCCUGAUCCAGCCAUGCCGCGUGUGUGAAGAAGGUCUUCGGAUUGUAAAGCACUUUAAGUUGGGAGGAAGGGCAGUAAGUUAAUACCUUGCUGUUUUGACGUUACCAACAGAAUAAGCACCGGCUAACUUCGUG
Molecule: ribosomal RNA, 484 nt
Filed under: uncultured bacterium
Lineage: Bacteria
Description: partial 16S ribosomal RNA
Rfam family: Bacterial small subunit ribosomal RNA
Source: RNAcentral